UCGCACUAGUCGGGGAGUUAGCGGUGCCCUGUACCUGCAAUCCGCUACAGCAGGGAGGAAUUCCCACACCCGGGCUUAUCAAAAUAUCGCAGUACUGUGCAAGCGGCGUUGAUGGAAGGGUCUUGCGCAACGGGAAACCGUGAACCAUGUCAGGUGGGGAACCAAGCAGCAUUAAGCGGAGCUUUCCGUGUGCCGCGGGGUUGCUGUUCCGGAGCUUACCUUGCACGGCAACGGGUGUUUUGAGGGCACAAAUGUGGGUGUGCGA
RNAcentral lists this signal recognition particle RNA (265 nucleotides) under Bacillota bacterium. RNAcentral's name for it is "signal recognition particle sRNA large type". It matches the Rfam family "Bacterial large signal recognition particle RNA". From Rfam's summary of the family: The signal recognition particle (SRP) is a universally conserved ribonucleoprotein involved in the co-translational targeting of proteins to membranes. Lineage: Bacteria; Bacillati; Bacillota. The record is from RNAcentral.